Molecule: long non-coding RNA, 574 nt
Filed under: Mytilus galloprovincialis (Mediterranean mussel)
Lineage: Eukaryota; Metazoa; Mollusca; Bivalvia; Mytilida; Mytilidae
Source: RNAcentral
GUCGUGUACAUUUUAUUAUUUUGUACAGGUUAUUAUACUUGUACUAAAUCUUUGUAUGAGUAUAAUUACUUGUAUGAUGCCAAAAUGCCAACAUACAAGUUAUUACCUGUACAAAUAUAAUUGUACCAGUAAUAACUUGUACAAUUUUCGUUACGAAAAAGAUGAUAACUUGUACAACACAAUAUCUGUGUGCUUCUACUUGUGCUUUAAACAAAAUGUUUUAUUGAAAAACUCCUUUUUUUGAGUUAGUAAGUCCGGGAUUAUUUGUCAAUUGUCGGGUAUUAUUUUUCUUUUACUGUUUUCUCGUAUUUAUUUAUUGGUUUGUUUAUUUUUCUUGUCAUAUAGUGUGUGUAAUUUUGAAAUCUAUAUUGUGUUUGCUUUUCCUUUCUUUUUUUCAAAUCUGUAUUCUGAACCAUUCUGUCAUAAGAAAUAUCUUUGAAGUGCUGUCUUUUUGGAAUUUAAUUUGGCUUCCUUUACAUUGCUAAUGUUCUAUUUGUACUCGUGUGAAAGCGAAUUAUUAGAGUAAGAUAUUUCUUGAUAUUUUUCUACAUUAUUUUCCAUCUUUACAAUUAAG